Molecule: ribosomal RNA, 253 nt
Filed under: uncultured bacterium
Lineage: Bacteria
Description: partial 16S ribosomal RNA
Rfam family: Bacterial small subunit ribosomal RNA
Source: RNAcentral
UACGUAGGGUGCAAGCGUUGCCCGGAUUUAUUGGGCGUAAAGGGCGUGUAGGCGGCCGUACAGGUCAGCUGUGAAAACUCGAGGCUCAACCUCGAGACGUCGGUUGAAACCGUACGGCUAGAGUCCGGAAGAGGAGAGUGGAAUUCCCGGUGUAGCGGUGAAAUGCGCAGAUAUCGGGAAGAACACCCGUGGCGAAGGCGGCUCUCUGGGACGGUACUGACGCUGAGACGCGAAAGCGUGGGGAGCGAACAGG